This is a long non-coding RNA of Mastomys coucha (southern multimammate mouse), 395 nucleotides long. RefSeq lists it as uncharacterized. The record is from RefSeq and is a predicted model, not a curated record. Lineage: Eukaryota; Metazoa; Chordata; Mammalia; Rodentia; Muridae. The transcript is spliced from 2 exons.
CAAUUCCAAUGCUGGAGAGGCUCAGGCAGGAUCACAAGUUCAAAACCAUCCGGGGAUACAUAGCAGGAUUGUCUCAGAAAAAAAUCCUAGCAAGAAUGAUGGCAAAGAAAUGGAUAGGCAACCCAAGAAGAAACAGAACACUGACGGACAAACCACCAGGAUUUCAAAGAUCACUGAGCUAUGGUCCUUCCAACCUGGAAAAAUGCUGGAGUCUUUAAAAUACCCACAGAUUUGAUUUCUAGAAGGUACUGUGAGAAUUCUGACAAUUAUUUUCAAUUUCUGGCUGAACCUCAUAAGGGCCAAAUGACAAAUUUCUAAACAUCGACCUAAAAUGCACCAGCGAUUUGGGAACAAAAAUGUUUAAAUAGGGAAAUAAAUACCAAAGUAGGACUGGC